UGUAGCUUGAUAAUGGGUAAUAUAUAUCCCCA
This 32-nucleotide non-coding RNA is filed under the name Mus musculus (house mouse). The record is from RNAcentral. Lineage: Eukaryota; Metazoa; Chordata; Mammalia; Rodentia; Muridae.